RNAcentral lists this transfer RNA (73 nucleotides) under Ailuropoda melanoleuca (giant panda). It matches the Rfam family "tRNA". From Rfam's summary of the family: Transfer RNA (tRNA) molecules are approximately 80 nucleotides in length. Their secondary structure includes four short double-helical elements and three loops (D, anti-codon, and T loops). Further hydrogen bonds mediate the characteristic L-shaped molecular structure. tRNAs have two regions of fundamental functional importance: the anti-codon, which is responsible for specific mRNA codon recognition, and the 3' end, to which the tRNAs corresponding amino acid is attached (by aminoacyl-tRNA synthetases). tRNAs cope with the degeneracy of the genetic code in two manners: having more than one tRNA (with a specific anti-codon) for a particular amino acid; and 'wobble' base-pairing, i.e. permitting non-standard base-pairing at the 3rd anti-codon position. Lineage: Eukaryota; Metazoa; Chordata; Mammalia; Carnivora; Ursidae. The record is from Rfam by way of RNAcentral.
ACCUGGCUGACUCAGUCAGUAGAGCAUGAAACUCUUGACUUCAGGGUUGUGGGUUCGAGCCCCAUGUUAGGUA